GUUCUAUACAUGCAGUCGAGCGGACAGAUGGGAGCUUGCUCCCUGAUGUUAGCGGCGGACGGGUGAGUAACACGUGGGUAACCUGCCUGUAAGACUGGGAUAACUCCGGGAAACCGGGGCUAAUACCGGAUGGUUGUUUGAACCGCAUGGUUCAAACAUAAAAGGUGGCUUCGGCUACCACUUACAGAUGGACCCGCGGCGCAUUAGCUAGUUGGUGAGGUAACGGCUCACCAAGGCGACGAUGCGUAGCCGACCUGAGAGGGUGAUCGGCCACACUGGGACUGAGACACGGCCCAGACUCCUACGGGAGGCAGCAGUAGGGAAUCUUCCGCAAUGGACGAAAGUCUGACGGAGCAACGCCGCGUGAGUGAUGAAGGUUUUCGGAUCGUAAAGCUCUGUUGUUAGGGAAGAACAAGUACCGUUCGAAUAGGGCGGUACCUUGACGGUACCUAACCAGAAAGCCACGGCUAACUACGUGCCAGCAGCCGCGGUAAUACGUAGGUGGCAAGCGUUGUCCGGAAUUAUUGGGCGUAAAGGGCUCGCAGGCGGUUUCUUAAGUCUGAUGUGAAAGCCCCCGGCUCAACCGGGGAGGGUCAUUGGAAACUGGGGAACUUGAGUGCAGAAGAGGAGAGUGGAAUUCCACGUGUAGCGGUGAAAUGCGUAGAGAUGUGGAGGAACACCAGUGGCGAAGGCGACUCUCUGGUCUGUAACUGACGCUGAGGAGCGAAAGCGUGGGGGAGCGAACAGGAUUAGAUACGGGGGUAGUCCA
RNAcentral lists this ribosomal RNA (769 nucleotides) under Bacillus subtilis. RNAcentral's name for it is "bacterial SSU rRNA". It matches the Rfam family "Bacterial small subunit ribosomal RNA", at positions 46 to 797 of the family's 1533-position model. Lineage: Bacteria; Bacillati; Bacillota; Bacilli; Caryophanales; Bacillaceae. The record is from RNAcentral.